Onychostruthus taczanowskii (white-rumped snowfinch) is the source of this 366-nucleotide long non-coding RNA. RefSeq lists it as uncharacterized. The transcript has 2 exons. NCBI's taxonomy places the organism in Eukaryota, Metazoa, Chordata, Aves, Passeriformes, Passeridae. The record is from RefSeq and is a predicted model, not a curated record.
GCUGCGGCGCCGCGCGCUAUUUAUACCGCGCGGGCAUCUCGCGAGAGCCGCGCGGGCCCUGCGCGCUGGAUGAUGCAUACACGGCGGGGCGGAGCGGGUGUUGUUUAUGCAGUUUGCGUUGUUUAUACAGCGCGCGGGGCGGGCGCGGCUCGCGGGGCCUCCGGGCGCGCGCGGGCGGAGCGCGCAGAGCGCAGCGCGGCGGCGAGCGGUGCCGUUCCGGGCCGCCGGGAGCUCCACGGCCACGCCGUCCACCAGGAGCUGUGAAGAGCACGGGGCUGCCGCGAUGGACGGCGACGCGGGAGUCACAGCUGGGAACGACUCGGCUUUGUGUUGUGAUGUGCAAUAAAAGAUGAAGUGCUUAAAAGA